GCAGGACCGAACAGAGUGAAAAAUAAAAGGGCAGGACAGGGAUUACAGCUAAAAAAAAAUGCAGGACAAAAUUUUUCCUCCUAGCCCCCCAUAAAAAUCAAAUGGUAGCUCCCUAAGAUUGUCAACGAGACAACUGAACUCUCCACAAGUGACAAAAUGACGUUAAUAUGAGCAACCAUGGGACACCACGAGGCAUUCGAAAUGGUCAAAACCCAAUUUAAUCAAAUAACCUAUAAAAGUUCGGGGUUUAUAGCCUUUUAUGAGGUACGGGUUUAUUUCAAUGUUGAUCGCCGGACGGUGACCAAUAGAUGUUAACUUUUAUGACAUUUAGUCUCUGGUGUGGAAUUGUCUCAUCGGCAAUCAUACCACAUCUUUAAUAAAUUAAUAUAUACAGACAUCAAGACAAAAAGUAAAACAAUUCAAACGAGAAAAUCAACGACCAAGUAAUUAAUUCACAAAAGAAUAAACGAAAAGAAAAUACAAAUACGGUAAACAACGAUAAACUGAGCAAACUUCAGAUUCUAACUCCUGACACACACUAACAAAUACAUGUACAUAAAAUACAAUAAACUGACGGAACUUCAGAUUCCAAAUCCUUACACACACUUACAAAUACAUAAAAUUACAAUAAACUGACUGAAAUUAAGACUCCAAUUCCUGACACACUAAUAAAUACAUAAAAUUACAAUAAACUGACUGAAAUUCAGACUCCAACUCCUGACACACAUUAAAAAAUUUACAAAAUUACAAAUAUACAUACAUUUUUUAAACAAAUUGGAUGAAUGUGCUAAUUGCACAUACAAAUGUACUAGUAUACCUAUAAAAAAGAAGAUGUUGGUAUGAUUGCCAAAUGAGACAACUCUCCACCAGAGACAAAAUGACACAGACUAAAUUAAUAACUAUAGAUCACCGUACAACCUUCAACAAUGAGCAAAGCCCAUACUGCAUAGUCAACUAAAAAAGAACCCGAAAUGACAACUGUAAAACAAUUUAUACACGAAAACCAAUUGUAUUGUGACUGAAUAUCUUGUAACAUGUUAAUAAUAUAAUAAAG
RNAcentral lists this long non-coding RNA (1054 nucleotides) under Mytilus galloprovincialis (Mediterranean mussel). Lineage: Eukaryota; Metazoa; Mollusca; Bivalvia; Mytilida; Mytilidae. The record is from RNAcentral.